AACGAACGCUGGCGGCAUGCCUAACACAUGCAAGUCGAACGAGACCUUCGGGUCUAGUGGCGCACGGGUGCGUAACGCGUGGGAACCUGCCCUUAGGUUCGGAAUAACUCCCCGAAAGGGGUGCUAAUACCGGAUAAUGUCUUCGGACCAAAGAUUUAUCGCCUUUGGAUGGGCCCGCGUUGGAUUAGCUAGUUGGUAGGGUAAAAGCCUACCAAGGCGACGAUCCAUAGCUGGUCUGAGAGGAUGAUCAGCCACACUGGGACUGAGACACGGCCCAGACCCCGACGGGAGGCAGAGGGGGGGAAUAGUGGAAAAGGGGCGAAACCCUGACCCAGCAAUGCCGGGGGAGUGAUGAGGGCCUUGGGGUUGAAAAGCUUUUUUCCCGGGGAGAAUAAGGACAGACCGGGAAAAAAAAGCCCCGGCAACCCCCGUC
This 433-nucleotide ribosomal RNA is filed under the name uncultured bacterium. Its description in RNAcentral is "partial 16S ribosomal RNA". It matches the Rfam family "Bacterial small subunit ribosomal RNA", at positions 29 to 507 of the family's 1533-position model. The record is from RNAcentral.